RNAcentral lists this ribosomal RNA (621 nucleotides) under uncultured bacterium. RNAcentral's name for it is "bacterial SSU rRNA". The stretch from base 1 to 539 matches the Rfam family "Bacterial small subunit ribosomal RNA", at positions 338 to 873 of the family's 1533-position model. The record is from RNAcentral.
CCUACGGGAGGCAGCAGUAAGGAAUAUUGGACAAUGGACGCAAGUCUGAUCCAGCCAUGCCGCGUGAAGGAUUAAGGUCCUCUGGAUUGUAAACUUCUUUUAUAAGGGACGAAAAAAGGUCUUUCUAGAUCGUCUGACGGUACCUUAUGAAUAAGCACCGGCUAACUCCGUGCCAGCAGCCGCGGUAAUACGGAGGGUGCAAGCGUUAUCCGGAUUCACUGGGUUUAAAGGGUGCGUAGGCGGGCAGGUAAGUCAGUGGUGAAAUCCUAGAGCUUAACUCUAGAACUGCCAUUGAUACUAUCUGUCUUGAAUAUUGUGGAGGUAAGCGGAAUAUGUCAUGUAGCGGUGAAAUGCUUAGAUAUGACAUAGAACACCUAUUGCGAAGGCAGCUUACUACGCAUAUAUUGACGCUGAGGCACGAAAGCGUGGGGAUCAAACAGGAUUAGAUACCCUGGUAGUCCACGCCCUAAACCGAUGGAUACUCGACAUACGCGAUACACUGUGUGUGUGUGAGNGAAGACGAUUAAGUAAGUCCUACCGUUCGGAGUACGACCGACGAGUUAGACGUUACGAAGAAGUUAGAGGCGNGAGACGNGCGACGGACGACGACGAGGGAGGAGG